GAUGAAGAACGUAGCGAAAUGCGAUAAGUAAUGUGAAUUGCAGAAUUCAGUGAAUCAUCGAAUCUUUGAACGCACAUUGCGCCCCCUGGUAUUCCGGGGGGCAUGCCUGUUCGAGCGUCAUUUCACCACUCAAGCCUCGCUUGGUAUUGGGCAACGCGGUCCGCCGCGUGCCUCAAAUCGACCGGCUGGGUCUUAUGUCCCCUAAGCGUUGUGGAAACUAUUCGCUAAAGGGUGUUCGGGAGGCUACGCCGUAAAACAACCCCAUUUCUAAGGUUGACCUCGGAUCAGGUAGGGAUACCCGCUGAACUUAAGCAUAUCAAUAAGCGGAGGA
RNAcentral lists this unclassified non-coding RNA (331 nucleotides) under soil metagenome. RNAcentral describes it as "partial contains 5.8S ribosomal RNA, internal transcribed spacer 2, and large subunit ribosomal RNA". The stretch from base 1 to 120 matches the Rfam family "5.8S ribosomal RNA", at positions 35 to 154 of the family's 154-position model. The record is from RNAcentral.